AAAAAAAAAUGAAAUAAGCAGCUUAUUGAGUUUCAACUUCAAUUCCAAACGGAGCCAUAGUUUAAAAUUAUGACAAAAUUUUUUAGUAAACACUAGUUAUUAUAACUUGAAAGUUGAAUUGAUAUAGAGUGUUUGGUCUAUCUUAUUCUGCAAAUAUCAUUAAAGAACAAAAAUAAUACUACUUAUAUCAGAGACUGUUCAAAUAUGCUCGGAGUUUGGUUUGUUUUUGUUUUUGCCUUUUGGUCAGAGCUAUAUAUAUUUUUUCACAUGAAAGAUGAAAGUAACUUUCACUAAUUCAAUGCAUCAUCCACUAACCGACACCAAAAGAUGAAAUUGGUUAAGUUUGGGCCUAAAAAGCUCAAUUGACAGUAUCCCAAUGAUGAAUUUAGAUUCAAUACUAAACUAAUUUACUACAUAUGCAUAUAUAUAAGAAUGUACAAUUAAGAUUUAAUUAAUUUUAUAUUCUUAUCUAAUAACUACUAAUUGUGUAUUUUAAAAAAAUUAGUAACAGAUCAACUAAGGACUGAACUCCUCAGUUGCGGGCCGUUAUCAAAUCAUUAACCAACACCCAAAUGGCUGUUGCAGCAACCAACGAAUUGCUUUUGCUGCUAAAAGCACAUUAGCUAAUAGCCCAAUAACAUACCAGCAGUUAGGAAUUGCAACAGUGGGCUUGGGUCGGACUUUUUUCAAGCCCAGGUCCAAGCCCACUCCAAGUUUUGCAUGUUGCGGGCAUGGGCUGGGCUGGGCUGGGCUCGAGGCCGGACUUGGACUUUAUUUAUUUUUUUUAAAAAUUUAAAUUAUUAUAAAUUUGAAAUAAAUUAAUGA
This 825-nucleotide long non-coding RNA is filed under the name Citrus x clementina. Its description in RNAcentral is "Citrus clementina (C. clementina) long non-coding RNA (CCLE_LNC005738)". Lineage: Eukaryota; Viridiplantae; Streptophyta; Magnoliopsida; Sapindales; Rutaceae. The record is from RNAcentral.